Glossina fuscipes is the source of this 1035-nucleotide long non-coding RNA. RefSeq lists it as uncharacterized. Lineage: Eukaryota; Metazoa; Arthropoda; Insecta; Diptera; Glossinidae. The record is from RefSeq and is a predicted model, not a curated record. The transcript has 5 exons.
UUUUUCAAAAAGAGAAUUGCAGUUUACAAACUUUGGAAUGUUAGCUAUAUCUUAAUAUUUUCAAUUAAUUUUGUUUAUUUAGAAACUGAAGAUUGACUUUUAUUUUAGAGAUAAAACUAAAAGACAAUCAAUGAUGACAAAAAAUAAAUUAAUAUAUAUUAAAAUAUAUCGAAUAUAAAAGGAGAGCUCUAAAUGACCUCCAAAAGCCUCGUUACGCGUUAUAAUAAACGUAUUAAUAAUAACAAAAACAAGAUUGAGAGAGACUGCUCGCAAACAAAAGGCAAAUUCUUAGGUAUAAUUCGUAAAAAUUGUAAACAAAUGUGAGAAAUAAGAAUUGCUUGAAUAUGUUUAUUUAUUUGAUAUGUUGAACGAAUAAUGGUAGUGAAUUAUGUAGAGAUAUAACUCUUUUGCUUUGCUGUUUUGUGAUAGCAAAUGCUAUUGAUUUCUUAUCGAUAUUGUGCUAACAUGUCAAUGAUUAGAUAGUAUGGUUGUAUAAUAUACAACACUUUCCUUUUACGCUAUAUUACGAGCAAUGCAGUGGCAAAAAUCAUAAAAGUAAGGAUUGCUUGGAGAGACCACGUAAAGUUCUUGCAAGAUAUGCGAAUUCUUUAGUCGUUCACGAUGAACAUAUUGUGCAAGAUGAAGCAGUAAAUUAUGAUGAGAAAAGAGAUCGUUGGAGUAGUUAUGAUCCCGCCAAUGAUCGCGAAAUUAUAGAAGAAUAUGAGAAGGUGGAAGAAGCUAAACGGCAAUUAAAAGCCGAAAAAUUAAAGAAUGAUCCUGAUGCGGAAAUAUCUGAUGAUGAUGGGAAUGAGGAUAAAUAUAAAUAUGUUGACGAAGUGGACAUGCCAGGAACUAAAGUGGAUUCAUAACAACUUAUUACAGUACGCAACUUACGUAUACGUGAAGAUAUCGCCAAGUACCUCCGUAACUUGGAUCCUAAUUCGGCCUAUUAUGACCCCAAAACCAGAUCCAUGCGGGACAAUCCAAAUCCACAAGUACCAGCAGAAGAGUCAGAGUUUGACGGUGAAAAUUUUG